Molecule: ribosomal RNA, 440 nt
Filed under: uncultured bacterium
Lineage: Bacteria
Description: partial 16S ribosomal RNA
Rfam family: Bacterial small subunit ribosomal RNA
Source: RNAcentral
CCUACGGGUGGCAGCAGUGGGGAAUAUUUCACAAUGGGGGAAACCCUGAUGCAGCGACGCCGCGUGAGUGAAGAAGUAAUUCGUUAUGUAAAGCUCUAUCAGCAGGGAAGAAAAUGACGGUACCUGAGUAAGAAGCCCCGGCUAACUACGUGCCAGAAGCCGCGGUAAUACGUAGGGGGCAAGCGUUAUCCGGAUUUACUGGGUGUAAAGGGGGCGUAGACGGCAGUGCAAGUCUGGAGUGAAAGGCGGGGGCUCAACCCCCGGACUGCUCUGGAAACUGUACGGCUUGAGUGCAGGAGAGGUAAGUGGAAUUCCUAGUGUAGCGGUGAAAUGCGUAGAUAUUAGGAGGAACACCGGCGGCGAAGGCGGCCUGCUGGACCGUAACUGACGUUGAGGCUCGAAAGCGUGGGGAGCAAACAGGAUUAGAUACCCCGGUAGUC